Non-coding RNA from Phoenix dactylifera (date palm), 5384 nucleotides. The record is from RefSeq and is a predicted model, not a curated record. Lineage: Eukaryota; Viridiplantae; Streptophyta; Magnoliopsida; Arecales; Arecaceae.
GUUAGUAAUAGAAAACUUAGGAAUAUUUUCUUUACUAUAAGAAAAUAAAAAACACAACCAUGUGAGCAUGCAUAGAAUGAAACUUAAGCUUCUUUUUUUUUUUUAACUCAAUCAAAGUUUAUCAAGAGGAAUUGAGCUCAAAGCAUUAGUAGGAAAAAAGGCUUUCUAUCAAAGUUUGUUCACAGAAAAGUGGAGGAUAUAAUAAAUAACUGCAUGCUAUUUUAUCAUUAUUUGCUGAUUUCAGUAGAUCUACUAGUCCCCUAUGGACACUACUCUAACUAAUGCUUUAUAGAUGGGGCUUUCUUUUGAAUGUAAAGAUUUCUGAUGCACUGCCAUUACCACAGUUAUUAAAAAUUUGCUUCUAGUGUAUUCUUUCUUCAAUUCUCUUGUUAUAUCUAAAGGCUGAAACGCUAUGGAAAUGUCCCAUUAAUUUUGAUUAUAUGCUUAUAGUAAGUGUGAUUUAACUGGGAAGUAGUUAUCAAAUUAAUCUCCUGGGCAUCAACCUCCAGCCAUGCAUAAUAUAAGCAAGUUUAAGACUAUUCGGUGUUUUAGUGAAGGAGUAGAUCGGUCAGUUUGUUAUUGUUAUGAAACUGGUACUGUUGCCAACAUAGUGUAACACAAACUGGUGGAAUGGAAAUGGAAAAUAAACUAGCCCUUGGAGCCUGUAUGAUUACAUUUAACUGGGUGCAUUGGUCGACCAGUUACGGUAAGUGAGUGAGUCACUCCAUUUUGGUUUGAUGUAGUUUACUAGCUAUGAUGUAAUUGAACCUACCAAAACUCUUCCAGUUGCAGUAACUUGUCCAUGACCCCAAUGUUGCAAGAACCAGUUAUUUGUGCAGCUAAACAGCUUUAUAUAGCUGCAGUUGCUGUGAUAAUGCUAUACAGGAUUCUUGCUACAUGCUAAUGGUAUUUAACUGUAACAAAAACCAGCGAUUGAUGAAACUCUCAUGAUCUAUUUACUGUUUAGCUCUUAUUUUCUAUCAUGUCGGGCUGCAAACAACCCUGUUUCGAGACCUUAGGCUCUGAAAUGCUUGGUCAAACUAGAUUUUGUCAUUUUUUAGAAACUUUGAUGUCAUGCCCCCGACCUUAGUAUUAUAUUUCGAGGGCAUGAGGCAUUUCACCUGUCAUUGAAUCAAUAUAACCUGAAAAUCAUAUACUUCAUAUAUAGGCAAUAGUAAUUAUUAGAAUCAGUAAACUACUAAAUUGACAUAUCACAUCAAGUCAAACAUACCAUCCUAAGUCAUAGCCAAGAAUUUGUUUCCAAAAUUAUAACUCAACUUUCAGUAACUAAGUAUGUAUACAUAACUUUGAGCUGCACUUUAAUAUACACUACUCAUCAAAACCAAACAUACUGACUAGCAAGGCGGCCUUGCCUCUAAUAACACUUUCUUAAAAUGCUGAUACUUGCCCAAGUCUCGGUCUGUAGAUCUGAAAGAUAUAAGUGAAGAUUAUAAGCUUCACAACUUAGUAGCUAAUCCACUAAUGAUGUUCACAUAAUGAAUCGAUACAUGGAAUCAAAAUAAGAUAGAUUAACUAAGUCUCAUGAUCCUACCAUGAUCCGGGAGGAUCACCAGACUCAGUAUGGACUACUUUGACCACUACGAGUGUUCAGAAGAAUCACCAAACUCGAUGUAGAUUAUUUUAGUCACUACGAAUAUUCAAGAAGAUCCCUAAAUUUGAUCUGGAUCACUUUGGCCACUAUGAGUAUUUAACGAGAUCACUAAAUUUGAUCUAAAUCACUUUAGCUACUAUGAGUAUUUAAUAGGAUCAUUAAAGUCGAUGUGGAUCAGUUUGGCCACUACGAAUAUCCAAGAGGAUCACCAGCCCGAUGUAGACCACUUUGGCCAUUACGGAUAUCCAAGAGGAUCACCAAACUCGAUGUAGAUCAUUUUGGCCACUAUGAGUAUUUAGGAAGAUCACUAGAUUCGAUAUGGACCAUUUUGACCACUGCGAGUGGGGUUGAACAGGGUUCAGGAGCGAGAUCCGCCGCAUUGAGAAGCCAAGUCGCAUGUUAAACUUUUGAAAGCCAUAACUUGAUCAUACGAUGCCCAAUUGAGAUAAUCUUUUCUUUUGAAAUUAGGUAUCUUUUGAAGAUCUACAAGUAGUAGGUUGAAUUAGGAUGAAAUUAUAUCGUUUAGACUUCAAAACGGGCUGGUCAAAUUGAAAAUUUUCUUUUCGGGCAAUACUUUGACCAGGCAUAGAUCUCUAUUUGAGAAGAAUCAGGUACAGCGACAGAAGGCAGAGUCGAUGUGAAAGUCAAGAUCUAUCUUUCUAAGAAUUUUAGCUUUUUCUAGAAUAUUUCUAAUAUAGAUAUCUAUUUUAGAAAAAAAGUCCUACUAGGUUUAGAAAGAGGAAUCCGAUCUAAAUUAUGUUAGGGCGACCUCAUAUUAUAAAUAGAGGCUAUAUACCUCGUUGUUUUUAAUGAUUAGUGAAAGAAAAAAGGACUUAAGCCCUACUUUCGAAAUUUUUCUAUCCUCUUAUAGUUAUCUUCCGAGAGAUUCGAGUUGAGCAGGUUGAAGAAAAUCUUUCUUCUCCCCGAUCGGAUCAAGUUGGUGUCAGAGCCAUGCUCUUAUCUAGUGGAAUUCUAACUUGAUUUGAUCAGAUCAAGUUGGUAUUAGAGCUCUAAUCCUCAACAUCUAUGGGAGCCUUAGUGCAUGGUCCAGAUGCACAAGUAGUACAAGCAGUCAGAAGAAGGGCUAUCCGUGCUUCAAAGACAAAGACGAGUAUGGCUGUUAGGUUUUUCUUGAUGGAUGAUUAGACAAAGAGAUAUUUUAUACAACUAGAGGAGAAGAUUACCUAACUCAUCGAUAUCAUGUCUCGAUUAGUGACGCCUUCAACAUGAGCACCAGCAACUCUAUCUUUGAGGAAAACCAAGUGGUUCAGCUGCGAGGCAGGAAAGCAAGCAUUUUUCCAUCUUCAGUUUUUAUUUAGUAGGAGCUAAAUCUCCUAAACAAGAGGAGCUUUGAUCUAGAAGGAUCACCAGAAUUGAUUUGGACCACUUUGGCCACUACGAGUAUUCAAAAGAAUCACCAAACUCGAUAUGGAUCACUUUAGUCACUAAGAAAAUCACCAAACUCGAUCUGUAUCACUUUGGCCACUUUAAAUAUUUGUUGCCGAACGGAUGAGAAAAAUGUUCCAGCAAAAGAUUUUUCUUUUUCGUUCUCUUGUGUAUACUGUCUUGUAGGGGGAGGGGGGAAUCGGUCCUUGUUUUACUUCUUUAUUAUAAGCACUGUUUGUUCAUGGUCGCUUUUUCUAAAAAUACAUUAGUAGGUUCUCUAUUGAUUCUUAGUCAUUAACUUAUCAUAAUCAAAUUUUUAUUUUUAAUUUUUUUUUCUUUGACCUUAUUUUUUACCAUCAUCAUCGUUGUUUUGUUAUAUAGCUUUUACCUCACUUUAAUAAAAUUUUCGUGCUUUUUCAUGUUUUAUGUUGCAGGCUCUGUGUUAGACUAAAUAUGUAAAAUAUUAAUUUUUAAUUGGAUGUGUUUCCAAUUUGUGACGGUUUUUAUGACUCAAUGGCCUAUUAUAGUCUUGAAGGUUUGAAGGCUCUUCCUAUCAGGACCAUUGAGCUGAUUUUUUUGUUGACAGCUUGGUGCUGAUGUAUGUGUACAUGUUAAAGACGAUGGAACAAAGCGAAGGCUUGAUGCUUUGUGUUUCAUAUUUUUUCCUAUUAUGUAUCAUUGUAUACUGUUCUGCAUUACUGUAUAGGUUGCUUUAGAUUCGAGCACACUUUUCUUUCAGAAAUAUCCAUGAUGAAAAAGAGCUGCAAAAAUUACGAUGUCAAAUCAGAUGUCAGUUUUACAUCAUUGUUCAAAAAAUUGAUUCAUAGGCCAUCUAAUAGCCGGCAGUCAGGCUUUCAGGUCUGGGGUACUAUUCCUAUGGUAGCAUUAUCACUAUCUUACUAGUUCAUAGUGGUAGACUUGUCAAACAUCGUUGCUGCAUCCAACAUCUAUCUGAUUGCCACCAUGUUACUGAUUUCAAAUAUAUAGAAUACUAGGGGCUCCCCAACCUUUUGCAAUUAAUCCAUAGUAUGUUUAUCGAUACCAAUGAAUAUGAUUGAGGAAAGAAAAAAAAUAAAGUUAAAAUUAUAAACUGCAUCGCUAUUUUUCUUACUGCGAUCAGUUAGGUGUCAUUGAGUUUUAUUGUAGAAUAUGCAGUUUUAGCUUGGUUAGGUAAAUUCCCUACAUAUUUUUGUGCUUUGUAAACCAUAUGAAUACAACUUACAGACAUCACUAUACUCCGUGCAACUCUUUAACAUGAUACCUUCAGAGUGAAUUUGGAAAGGGCUCAGCAUGUGUUUGCCAAUUUUGUACCAGCAUGCUGACAAUAGAGACUGCUGUUCGACCUGGACUGCUGCUGGGCAUCAUCAAGAAUUUGUUUCAUCUAAAUAUUAACGUGGAAUUGGCUGAGUUUUACAACUACGAAUCAUUUGCCAAGGGUAAAUUCCACGUCAGCUGGAAUGGCGCAGCACUGGACGACUUCCAUACUCGGGCCCGGAUACACUGUUUGGAAAGCCUUCUUUAAGACAGCCAUAUAUACUCCGUCAAUGUACAGAACCGACAGCUGCCACAGUUCCCCCUUCACGACAGCUGCCCCAGUUCCCUGCUCUGUUCGAGCUUCUUCGCCCGUUUCCUGGAGAAACUACGUGGACCGACAGAUUACAGGUUUGUCGUCUGAUUGCGUGAUCUCCAAAUGAGCUCUGGAUCUUUCAUUUCUGAAGGGUGUUAGAUACGUCUAAAUUUCUCUGAGGUUCUUGAGUUAGUGUACCAACCAGGUGCCAGCAAUUAGCUUUAUCAACUUACCAUUGCAGUCAUACGGGAUUUGAAGAUGGAAACUAUAAUUUUAAGAUGGGAUAGUAGGGGUGCAAUCGAGCCUGAGCCAAGUACCAAGCUGCUUGGUCUCGGCCCAGGUUUUAAGUAAGUUGUUCGAGCUUGGCUUAGGCUAAACUUUGAGCUGAAUAUUUGAACAAUCUCCAUGUUCAGGCCCGGGACUCAAACGUGUCCGAGCUCAGCUCAGUUUCCCAGUGGAGCGGAGCUCAAACGAGCUGAUAACAUGAGCAGAUAGAAGAGUUGAUUAAUCUUAUCUUCUCGUUACUUCUGGAUGAUAAGAAGAGAGCGAUCGACAAGUAUACCAGGAAUAAGUCUAUUAAAUUCCUAAAUUUCCUGACAGAGUUAGCUGCUAAGGUCCGUAAUCCACGACUUCAGUCCUCUUUUCAGCGCAGGCAUCGAUACCAAGCACAAUAAUAUUGUACUCACAAAUGCACAGAACACAAGAACAUGUUGGCACUUCUUUAUUUCACAUUGUUUUCCGGGCAGACCUUUGUACAGCAGAGCAGCCAACCAAAUUCUCUAUGUAUCAGGAUAGCUAUCACCGAGGGAUUCAACAAAA